AUCUAUUAGGUUGGUGCAAAAGUAAUUGUGGUUCUUGACAUCUUUUUAAAAGACAAAAAUCGCAAUUACUUUUGCACCAA
This 80-nucleotide microRNA precursor is filed under the name Aotus nancymaae (Ma's night monkey). RNAcentral describes it as "miRNA (ENSANAG00000000883.1)". Lineage: Eukaryota; Metazoa; Chordata; Mammalia; Primates; Aotidae. The record is from RNAcentral.